AAUAACGUGCUUGACAAAAAGAUUGUCUUGAUAGGGCAAAUCAUGAGAAAUUUCUUUCUCCGUUAUUA
This 68-nucleotide transfer RNA is filed under the name Oplophorus typus. RNAcentral describes it as "tRNA-Ile". Lineage: Eukaryota; Metazoa; Arthropoda; Malacostraca; Decapoda; Oplophoridae. The record is from RNAcentral.